RNAcentral lists this long non-coding RNA (386 nucleotides) under Phoenix dactylifera (date palm). RNAcentral describes it as "long non-coding RNA (PDAC_LNC002917)". Lineage: Eukaryota; Viridiplantae; Streptophyta; Magnoliopsida; Arecales; Arecaceae. The record is from RNAcentral.
UGGGCUCGGCCUGCUGUGCUCGGCCUUCUGGUUUCGGCCUUCUGGUCUCGGCUCUCUGGUCUCGGCUCUCUGGUCUCGGCUCUCUGGUCUCGGCCUUCUGGUCUCGGCCUUCUGGUCUCGCCCCUCUGGUCUCGGCCUUCUGGUCUCGGCCUUCUGGUCUCGGCUCUCUGGUCUAUGAGCUCGAGAGCGGAAGAGCCCGAUCACUUAGGAUGAGCUCGAGAGCGGAAGAGCCCGAUCACUUAGGAUGAGCUCGAGAGCGGAAGAGCCCGAUCACUUAGGAUGAGCUCGAGAGCGGAAGAGCUCCAUCACUUAGGAUGAGCUCGAGCUUGCUGAUGGAUUUGGGUGCUAUAAUUACAUUUGUGGGGUGGUCCAUUUUUCCACCAACA